Molecule: long non-coding RNA, 1554 nt
Organism: Astatotilapia calliptera (eastern happy)
Lineage: Eukaryota; Metazoa; Chordata; Actinopteri; Cichliformes; Cichlidae
Source: Ensembl
GUGAGGGGAAGGGCACUGCUUUUGGACAUGGCCCCAACCUUGACAGUUAUGGCAGCGAACCCCACUCCUUUUAAAAUUUCUGUGAUUGUUCGGUGUUGUCGAGGGUAUGUGUGGGACAAAACAAUUUGGUGAGGGGCUAGCUGCAGGUGCAUGCUCAGCAACAUUCUCAUCUUUGUCUUGUUACGGCUGUGACCGUAAUUGUGUGUGGAUUUGAGUGUCUAGGUGCUCCUCCGGGAUUGACGAUUUGGCGUUGGUAAUGUGUUGUUUUUGCGUGACUGUUAUGUGUUUCCUACUUUACUUUGAAAGUCUGUGUCAUCUUAGUGUGUUCAGUUUACAUUUUCCCUGUCUCGUCAGUUCUGAUUUGCCCCAGCUGUGUUUCCCUCCUGUUGUCCAUUCCCUGAUUGUUCCCUCCAUGUAUUUAAGCCCUGUGUGUCAGUUGUCAUGGUCGCGAUCUUUUUCCCCCCCCGUUGUAAAUAGUUUGGCGCCUUGCGUUGUAAAUAAAUAUCAUUUUGCUUUAAAGAAAAUAGUGGUCGUUUUGGGAUGAUUUUUGUGGAAACCCGUAUUAGUUUUUUCUCGUGUUUUUUUCUCGUGUGUUUUUUUUACCUUAUUUUUAUUUUCCUUAUUUUUAUUUUCCUUAUCUUUGUUUUUCUACGUUGCACCCCGGUUGCCUAGGCCGGGGUGUAACAGUCUUUUUCUCUGACGACAGCAGCUCGGGGCCAGCGUUCAGCUGCGUUACGGGCUCCUUGCUGCAUGGCACUGGUUACAUAAGAUGCAGCCCUUUUAGUGGUUUCGUGUCGGUGGGCUAUUUUGUAUGCACAGGCAAGUGUGGCUAGGUCCCUCUCUAGCAACUUCUGUACUAUUUCUGCAUUACCCAGCCCAUUGGUGAAAACUUCAACAGCUAUAGAGUCUUGUUCAAUCUCUGCUCUAUUACCAAAUGCAACAGCCACUUUCCCAUAAAUGUCAUCUCUGAAAACAUGCAGGGCCUCACCAGGUUUACGCACUCGCUGCCUCAGUUCUACAGCAACAGCAGCUGCAUGGUCAGAAGAAGGGCCAUAUGCAGUUUCCAGUUCGUCCACCAGGCGGCGGUAAUCCCAUUUGGAUGAGCGGGGAUUUCUGUGGAUAAUGGCCCCUGCUGCUCCAACUAGGCAGAAUUUAAGCUGAGUUGUCAUUGUUUUUUCUGACCAAUAGUUGGCUUCAGCACAGCUCUCAAACCUGUGCAGAAAUUCCUUCCACGGUGUGGUGCCGUCAUACUGGCCCGGACAUAGGGUGGGGACUCUCUCUCUAGUGUCACUGUCCUCUUCACUGUCAGAUGGGGGCUGACGGGGCACACAGCGGGUCUUGCCUGGUUUCGAGCGGGGUUUAUGCUGUGCAGUGGUUUCCCCAUAGCUUAUGGCUUCAUCAAGGCUACUGGAAGGCAUACAUUGCAUGGGUGUAUUUAACAUUGCGUUAAACUGAGCCGGUGUGCUGCGUACAAAACUGUCAAUGUGAGCGGAGGAAAAUGGGUUUGAGUCUGGAUAGUGGAUUUUCAUUUGGGGAGUAGGAGCUGGAUAAUAG